This 9838-nucleotide long non-coding RNA is filed under the name Homo sapiens (human). RNAcentral's name for it is "HSALNT0383511". Lineage: Eukaryota; Metazoa; Chordata; Mammalia; Primates; Hominidae. The record is from RNAcentral.
AACUCUGCCUCGAAUCUCGCUUUUGACUUGGUCCUAUGAGCUGAGCCAACAUGGCGUCUCCCACUGCACCGCGAGCGCCGGGCUGCCAGGCUCGGCAGGGCCGGGUAAUAGAAAACACAUUGGUUACCAAAAAGAAAAAAAGGAGGGCGGGGGGCGCUAAAGGCCAUUCCGUCUGCAGGCAGAAAACCCUUUUUUAAACUCUUGCUGGCAAGUGAGUCCGGUCCUCGGUUCUUUAAUUAAAGCAACAGAAUUCGUAAGGAAAAUAUUGGUAACGCUGUACCUUCUCCCCUCCCCCUCCCAUAUUCAGGAGAGUUGAUUUCCUGUCCCCUCUCCUUCCAAGAACCAAAUUAGAAAAAUAAAAAGUCUGUAUCCGCAAAUGAUCUUAAAUGUUUGAAUGGUAUAGGGGGAUGGGAAGAGGACGGUCUUUACAGACCUCGGUCAGUUCUCGCGCUCAUUAAUGCAGGGGCUGCGCCGGGGUUUGCGCGGGCCCGAGCGGAGCUGGGGCGCGGUGGGGAGGGCGGAAUGCGAACCCCGCUGGACUUGGGCAGAACUUGCUGCUUUUGCACGCCCAAGUUGUGGGAAAGGAGGCUUUCCGGGCGGAGGGUUGAUUGGGGGGUGGGAGGGUCUAGCAGGGGCUGAGGGCCGGUUCCAGGCGGGUGGUCGCAGACCCUAGAAAUGUGUGAGCCCGCGUGGACUGUGCCCCUGGCAGGAGAGCGACUGCAGCGGAGGACCCUCUUUCUCUAAUAGGUUUGGCCUUGGGGCUAGCGCUGAAGUCUCUGCCUAUGGGGCCUCUGGGGUAGGGCUGAGGGGAAGAAAGGUGUGAAAGACGGGCUGCCUGGAUUCAGCCUCUGGAUCUUAGACCGGGGUGAGAGACCCGAGGCAGAAUGGGCCUGGGGGGUGGUGUCCCUCUAUCCCAUCUCCCCCGGAGCGGCCCCCUCGAAAUGACGUUCCUUGAAAGAAACAUGCUUGUGAUUAGCUAAGCAAACACAUCUGCUUUCGGAGUUGGGCCUUCGUUAAUUAGCUGAACAAAGGGCCGUUUUGCUUUUUACCUUUUGCUGGGGAGAGUGUGUUAUUUCAGGAGUGUUGCGGGCCCUCCUCUUUUCAAUUGCAGCCACGACGUUAAUUUUAUUGGGAUUACUGAUGGGAAAUGAGGUGGCGCAGGCUUCCGAGAGGAAAAGCUUGAUCAUUACCCCCUUUGGAACUAUAUUUUUCCACCCAACCUCCUGCUUGAGAGGAGGGGGUGGGGGGCGAACUGCGCUGCAAGUUCGGAGCAAUUGGAAUCAGGCUCGCGGUGCGCUGAUCUCGGGUGACAGAGCGUGUGUUGAAGCUGAACUCUAUAAUUUGCGCUUCUGUUCCUUUAUUAGGCCUGGACAACGAACUAAUGAGCUUUGGCCCAGUACAAUGUCACUUGUAUUUAUUUUCUUAUGGCAACUUUGAGAUAGCGGAAGUGUUCUUUACCAAGAGCCAGGGAGGGCCCGGAGUCCUGCCGGCUGCUGUCCCGGCCCGGGUCGGUGGCUGCGUCCCGGGGGAGCGAGGGCGCGGUGAGAGCGCGCGCAGAGCCGGCAAAGCUCGGGGACUGGGCUUCUAGGCGAAGCUAAUGGGGCCCUCAGGAAGGCGUUAGGCCCUUUGGAGGCCCAGGCAUCCCUACAGGAGCAGCUCCCUGAGGAUGAGGUCGGGGGGCGCGGGGCAAGUCCAGGGCAAGUUCCCAGGCACGAGAUGAUGGAAGGCGCGAAAGUGGCAUGGCUUCCUCCUGGCGCAGAGCAGGGGGUCCUUCCGCAAAGACUGCCAGGCCAAGGAACCCUCUGAGCAAGCAGAUGUACUCCGCCCGGUGGCCUGGGCGUCUGCUUUCUGCUGCAGGAACCUGGCCCAGCUCUGUUGCUCUCUGGGUUGGGGGUGAGGUGGGGUGAAGAGGAUGCUUUAAAGGAGUUCUUGGGGUCCUCGGCAUGCGGGGACUCCCUCCCUUCUCUUUCUGGUUUGGCCACUCCAAAGGGUCGAAGUUGGAGAGGCCUGGAAUAAAGUGAAGAAGCAGUGGGGGUUGGAGGGACAGAAGGGUCGGCGGAGGCAGUGCGGCGUCCCUUGUUCCCUGGCAGAGAGAAUACGAGCCCACCACGGGGGGAUUGUGGGUGGGGGGCAAGGGAAGGGAAGCCCCAGGAACUGCGAGGGGAGCGAGUACUUCUCUCCGCAGCCUGUCACUUUCCGAGGCUCCCGCCAGGCAGCCCUCGUUAAUAACGCCUAGACACCGUGCCCCUGCCCGCCCCAUCUCUCCUUGCCUCUCCUCACUUCAUCUCUCUGCCUUACCACCCCCUCCCCACCUUUUCCUUCCUUCCUGCAAAUGGGUGUUAACGUGGGUCUUUAUGUUCUGUCUAUAACUAGGAUGUAAUCACGCACCCCAUGCCUCUCUCUAAAAGCAUUUCAUAAAUGUCUAUUAAAGCGCUACGAAUGUAAGAUGAAUUUAGUGGCGCGGCUGCCUCCCUGAAUCCGAACGGUAAUGAUGGAUUUAUCAACGGGGAUUCGCCUUCAGCCCAGCGAGGGAGGUUUACUCAGCAAAUAUGUCGGCGAGCACCCACCCAAAUGCAAUCAUUUGACCCCCUGCGGACGAUAGCUGCCGUGCCCCUUCCCACCGCUGGUCCUGCUUGGCCAGGGUCGCUGGGGGCCAGAGGCCGGCCCGGAUGACCAGAGAGGUGGCCUCACGGAUCCCUUGGCCUCUCGCCCCCUCCUCUGUUUCCUCCUCUCAGCUUGAGGCUCUCCUGGCAAGGGGGAUCGAUCUGGCGUGUAGGUUUGGUGGGGAGGGAGAGGGUGGUGGCGGUGCCAGAGCACAAGAUGAAGUGUGGGCUGUCUUGGCGUUGCCAGGAGACAUCAGUGGGUGCCAUCGUGCCCUUCUUAGUUUGGAAGGGGCACAAUUGUACCCAAGUCUCUGAGUGUGAGCUUAAGUGCCCUGCUUUUGACCAAAUCUUAGUGUCUGGGAUCGUGGCUGACUCGGCCCAGCCCUGGGCCCCAUUGUAGGAAACGUGGCUGUAGGACAGAAGCCUGUGGUGCCCAGCCCCUUGGAAGGGCUCAGAUGUGCCCAGAACGAAUGCCUUGCCUGCCCAUCCUCCUGGGGCUCCCUAGACCCCAAGCCAAAGCAGAGAUACCUGUUAUCAAAGGUUGGGGAAGAGCCUCCAAGGCAGGGGCAAAACUUCCAUAUCUCUUUCCCCCAAACUGAUCUAGCUUCUCCUUCACCUUCCCCCACCGAGGCCACCCGGCCAUUUUAAAGUUUAGUGGCUGUGGACUUUUAGAAUUUGGUUUGGUCUGUGAUCCUUACCGCACAGACCCAAUGACCACCACCUCUUUCUUUUUGUCUUUUAUCUGCUCUCCUUUUGAGGGGGAGGAAAGUGCUGGCCUGUUCCAUCAAGCCCAGUUCGCAUUUGCUUUAGCCUCUGAUUUCUCUUUCUUCUUUGGAAAUUUCAUUGAGAUGUCUCUGUACUUCGCUUGUCAGUUAUCUUUGUUCCUUUUAAAUAAAGGGCUUUUAAAUGGACUUAUUGCUCCCAGCGUGGGUUCCUCUCUCUAAAUGUUAGAAAAUUGUGCCAUCUACCCGCUAUGCUGAGUACUGUCACACUCGGAGACCUCGGGGACCUCCGGGCAGGCUUCAAUGCUGCAGUGUCAGGGGCCGCGGGCAGCAGGAGGAGGGGGCGGCUCACGUGGAUUUUUACAGAUCUCCGCCUGCAGCCGGCCCGCGUGGCCACGCCAGGGCACGGCCCGAGACGCGCGCAGCCGCCAGCUUGAUGGCGGCCGCGAACUUGGCUGCAGCGGCAGAUCUCCGACCAAAUCGCAGGCGUGGCCGGGACUCUUCGCUUCUGCAGCAUACAGCUGGCCGAGGGGGAGCCGCGGGUGGUUUUGGACCCCAACAGCAACUGGGGGCUCCGCCAGCCCCUCCACCAGCCUCAUCACUAAUUAAAACGCCCUGUGGCUUUGGGACUGAGUAGGCCGGUCGUUGAACUGUCAUCUCCGCCAGGAUGGGAAAUCUAGAACAUCCCCUCUUCUGCAAAAAAGGUUCCGAACCCAGUGAAGUGAUUGGGCGGAGUGUCAUUAAUCUCUCUCCAGAAGCUUUCCUUUUCCUCCUGGGGAGUGAGGACUCCGGCCUUUGCCUCCACCCAACACGGUCGCCCGGCUAGGCCCCACCAUCCCCACUGUCGACCCCGCCGUUGUGCCCAUCCGUAUGCCCUAAUUGUGAGGAAGGUCUGGGAAACAUUUUCUUUGCGCUAAUUUUAUAUUUCCCCUUUCCCCCUUGCAACAUUAAACAUAAUUUUGCGCUGUCACUGUCACUAAGAUUGUGGUUUGCUGAUGUCUCUACUUGGAAACAUGACCCCUUCGCCUCCAACAGGGAGUCCUCCCCUUGCUUGCAGCCUCUAGUGCGGCCCCUUCUCCAGCGGGGACUUCAGAGCGUUUAUGAAAAUGCUGGGGCGGGGGGUGAGGGGAUGGGGAGGUACUGAUAGUAGUAAAGGCCAGAAGGGUUCCUACCAGAACCCUACAAUCAUUCCAAACCCUCUUUUCCUAUGACAGCAGGAGCAAAUGUAGUUUUGAUGUGCGUUUGGUUGUUGGCUUGUUUGUUUAAUAAAAUCCGUGUGUGUGUGUGUGUGUGUGUGUGUGUGUUUUAAUGUCUCAGUGUAUGUGACAGGAAACCACUUUCAGAAUUUCCCUUUGAAUUUUUUUUGUUUGUUUGUUUUUGUGUCUGUCCUCCUCAACUUCUCUCUUUUCUUUAUUCCCCUCCCCACUACAUUUUCUCUGGCUAAGCAAUAAUCCCCUGGCCCAGUGGCCACGCUCCUGGAGAUAAAAUCCAUUUAUCCCUUGUGUUGCCUCACUGAGGCCCGGUUAUCCAGGGCCUUUGGCGACAGACUGGAACAAACAGAGAUGAAGAUAUUUUUUCGUUUUCCAUACCUGCUCCUCCCUUCCUUCAAUGUGCCAGCCUAGAGGGGCUCUGGAGUUGAACAAAUGUACCCACAACUGCAGGUUUGCUCUGGCGCCUGGUUGUGGUCCUAGUUGCUAUUUGUUUGUCUCUUUGGAAGGAGCUGUUAGUUACAUUCUGCUCCCCACAACAGUCUCAGAGCUUGCUUGCACCAAGGUUGGGAGGUUUCAGAGCGAUUAUCUCAUUUCGCUGGUGCAGAGGGAAGCUGCUGGCAGCCCCUGGAUCAGACAUUCAGUGGAAGGCCCAUGUCACAGACCCAACCCGAAGGUUAAUUUUCCCUCAUUAGCAUCUCCAUAGUCUGCUCCUUGCAAGGGAUCUCAGGUCCUUGCUGCUAUUUUCUCCCUUCUCACUCUUUCUGACGAAUUCACUCUCACUCGUGGUCUCCUCAUCACAACCUUACAUUCUGCCAGGUUCCUAUUGAAUCCAUAGACUGAUCGCUGAAAACCCAUUUCAUCAGUUUCCAACCAGUAUGCCUAUUUUUAAUCCUAGAGCCCCUCUCCUCCAUCUGUAUCUCUCUAGCCUCAAUGCACCUCAUUUACAAAGUGUUCUGCUUUAUCCAAAUUAGUUCACUUCCCCCCUUUUACUUUCUCAUACCCCCUCAUUCUUUCAUUGAGUUCUAGCAAAAGCAAAAGAUACAAAAUGGCAAAGUUUGAUGGGUUGGGGGAGACCAUCCCAGCCAUUUAGGAAGAAGCUGGAGGUUUGUAAUGACAGAAAAAAAAUGACAAAGAAAAGAGAAUUGCAUUUGUGGCUUAAGUGGGACAAUGUGUUUGUGUGUCUAUAUCUCGGUGUGUUUUUAAGAUUUCUUUGAACUGCUUUUGUGCUGACCCAACAAAGGCAUUUGCUGAAGCUAGUCACGGUGUAGGAACUUUGAGUUAACCUCUUAUAUCAAAUGAAUCUUUUCAUUUAGAGACCAAUAAAUCUCAAUCUCUAGCUACUUUUUGUAGACCCAGCUUGGGUUCAGUGAGACAAAACUGGGGCUUAUAAUACAGACCAGAUAAAGUUUGCAAAAGUUGUUUUUUCCCCUCCAUCCUUUUUUACCAACCUGAAAAAUUUCCCCAUCCAACAAAUUAAAGCUCAGCAAAUAAAAGUAGCAGCUCUUCCUCAGUGAGCAGAAGGUUAGGAAUUUCUUUAGCAUUUCACAGCAAAGCCUUUUCACUGAAAUGGUUUUCCAAACUCAGAGGCCGAAAAGAUUUAUAGUUCUUCAACAAGUCAUUAUUUGGGUGUGUUUUUUAGGUGGGGCUGAGACAAUCUAAUAAUCAAUGUAAGACGGGUGGGUGGGGGGAUUGGCUAUGACCAAAAGAAGAGUUAACACCAGAAACAUGAAAGCCAGUCUGGUCUCCAGGGAUUGAAUUUGGGAAAGCCUGCACACGGCUGCUCCUGGGCCAUAAAGAAAUACAUUGUUAACAACAACAAAACAGACAAUGCCCUGAGCUCUGCCUGGAUUCAGAGCUGAGCUACUUUCAAGAUAUUUUAGCAGCACUGUUCAUUUUGAUGGGGUUUCUGGGCCAUUUGAAAUUCAACCUUUAGCCAGCCUGCUCAUGGGGUAUGGUUACAGAAUUCAUUUUCUGAUUUACUACCCCUCCUCCUGUAUUUUCUUUAUUUCCUGAUGGCCUCCCAUGGGGUUAAUCUUUUUUCCCUUUCUUUUAUAUUUUCCAGUUUUGUUCUCCCCACAAACGACUCAGUGUUUUUCCUGUUUCUACUGAUCACUCAUUUGCUUCCUUUCUCUCUUUCCUUCUUUAAGAGCCAGAGAAAAAUAAAAAGAAUGAGAAGGGGAUUUCCAAAUCGUUCUUUUCUAAGCAUUAUUAAUUACUGUUACAAGGCAAAAGAUUUUUAACCAAUAACAAAGUUGUAAAUUACCACUGACUUUCAAGUAUUUCUCAUUUGUCAGCUCUGAUUGAUUUGAUUAAUAUUCCACUCUGAAAUAAUUUCAGCCGGACUUAUCAUCAGUUCUACUCAUGAAGCAAAGAGCAGACUAUCACUGCUGCAGGGGAUCUGACCACUCUGCUUUUACUCUUAAUGUGAAGUUUGGGGUUUUGUCCUGAGGCCCGAGGUUCUGGGAAGGUGUACAGGCAGUUAAGUUUCGGGGAUGAAGUGGACUGGCAUAUCUCCAUAUAUUCAGUUAUUUAUAUGUAAUUUUGAAAACUUUGUUCAGGAACCUAUUUGUAUUGAAAGAACAAAACGGCAUCAUUUCCUUGCUCUCCUGAACAUUUUUUUUUAAACUGAAUAUUCAAGGCUGAAGGAAUGAAUUUUUAAACAGUUCCUAAAUCCAAGAAACUCAUUCGAACCCUAUUAAUUCUUAUCCUACUGGAUAGCAUUUCUGAGAAAGAGUGGGCCUACUCUCUGCUCAGACCUAUGGGAGAUUUGGGUUACUGGUGGGGAAAAAAGUGUGUGCAGGGACAGGAGGGUGGGAGGGGCUCAGCACAAGACAGGGGCAGCCAGAAGACUCCACUUUUGGGGAGUGGGGUUAUAGUUUCCCAAGGUCCUUUUCCGUGCCAUCGUCAUAUCCAGAAUGUAAUUUUUGAAGCUAUCAAUACCCGCUGCCUCCAAUACCUCUCGAGUUUUAAUCUUAAUUAUAUUAUUAAGUGAAGUACUCUGCUGUCAGGGCGUUGAACAUGAUUUAUGACGUCUGCCUAUUAGGGGAUCGAUUGUGAAUAUCGCCACUAUCAUCUAUCAAUAUUCUCAAGCCGGGGGUAUUUCUCGCUCCACGGUAGUUAUUUGUAAUACCGAAAUGAUAGACUGCAGGAAAAGACUACUUCAGAGGACUCGCUUUUCAGGAGCAGCAGAGAGUGUGGUGAACCAGGAGACUCGGAGAGUUCCAACCACAUCUGACACCCAGAGAGAGUUUAAAGUUUUUUUGUUUCUGUUUUUUAAUGUAAAAACCAGUGAAUUCUCCCGUGGGGCUAGUAGAAGAAAGCAAGCCAGAGUCGUUUUUAGGGAAAGGAGUAACCUCUGCAGGUCGAUAUCAGGGGGCGAGGGUUUCUAGCUGCCAGGUGAUUUGCAAUCAGACUAGAAGGAAAAAACUGGCAACCAGGGGCCCCUUUAUAGGAAGAUGGCUGGAUGAGGGCUGCAGAGGGGUGCUGGGGGUAGACUGCGUAUUUCUGCAGCAGAUGCCCGGUCGCUAUGCCCGUGGAUUCGGAGGUGUUCAGUUUCUGGGAUCAAUUAAGACUCGCUGGCUGAGCCCUCGCUGCAUCGCCGCUUUCACCUGCUCCUGCUUCCUCUGCAUAGGUGGAAGCCCGUGCCAAAGACCUAGUGGCCAGGCCCGAGGGAGCCUGAACGCAGAGGCCUUUUGUCUCCAGACAGAGAGCAGCGCCUGCUUUUUUCCACUCUCACGGGGCACGGCACUGGGUCACCAGCGAGUCUCAGCCUCCAGCGUUAGGGGGAUGGGAGGAAGAGUCAGAGAAUGGAGCAAAACUCUCCCGUUCUGGCGGCCUGGAGCUGGAGGCUAGAACACCCCGGGGGGGUGGGGCGUGGAGGGCGGCCUGAGUGCCGCGCCUGGCCCCUGCCCUGGGUGCGCACCAGGCCGCGAAAGCCGGGGGCCGCCUUCUCGGCUGCUGAAGCCCGGGAGUCAGUCAAGCGCCCUCUGGCACCGCGAGGGAGGCGCACCUCGCCUGGUGCAGAGUUGCCGCGACCCGAGCGGGAGGAGGCACAGGACGCAGGGCUCCUGGCCUGGCUGUGGGCUUGGCCUUGGCGCACUAAGCGCUCCCCAUCUGCCCGAGCCUGGCCUCCGCGGCCCUCUCGGCCCAGUCUACGUUCGUUUAAGGACUUCAGCGCGAAGAAGAGCGAACGUGGCUAGAACCUGUUGACCUCUCCUCUGGCCUGGAAGUCCGCACAGCUCGUGGCAACACUGGACGGACUGGUUGUCAGGGGACGACCGCGGGCAGGUGGGGAGGAGGCCUUGGUCUGGCUCCUGGAUUCCACCCUGGGACGGAAGGGGAAGCGGAAACCUUGACCUCAGCCACACAAGGACACCUAUCUGGCUGUCUGCCUGCCCUGGCCCAGCCACCCGGUUCAGAGGCCUACCCUUGGCCACAGUGGUUUGUCCUCAGGCUUGGAGUCCCCAGAGAUGUGGACACAGUGACUGGCACAUAGUAAGCGCUUAAUAAGUGUUAGAUUGGCGGUGUCAAUCAUUUUUAGGCACAUCCGGUUUCCUCCGUGAGCAUCUCCCCUCUCACACACAUUUAUUCCAGGCCAACAACAUGCCUAGCUAGGUCCUUAAGCACCGCCACUCAUACCCAGAGGCCCAUCAGCUGCCUCGCUCCCUCUGAGCCCUGGAGCUGCAGCCCUCCACCCUUGACAUGCGGGAGAAAGCCAGAGGCCCCUAGAGUCCCCCCCUCGGGGUGUUUUCCAGGCCUGGGACACCUGAGCAGGAGACACAGAGGCCUGAAGAAGGGUUAGCAGGUCCCUAAUAUGCCCCAUCCAUGUCAGCACUAGAGGAGGGGAAUUCUGGUUAAAUAAGAAUAUUCUGGACAGGGAGAUGGUGGUUGGUCAGUUAAAAAAGAGAGAAUCAUUCAGUAAGGGAUGCAUGUGUGGGAAGAGUGGGGGGCACCUAGGGGCAGGCUGACGCAGAAGAAGCAAUAGAGGCUGAGUCAGAGCACCACAAUGACACCUUUUUCUUCCAGAAAGAAUUCUUUAGUUAAGCCUUUAAUCGGCCUUCGGUGAGCAGUGAGUUGUGGGAGGUAGUGCCAUUAACUAUACAUACAAUGUUCAUGUAACCAGAUUUUAAUCAUUUAUGAUCUUAAUAAAUAAAUAUGCUGCCUUCUGAUUCUUUUUACUAUCAAUGAUAUUAAUACUGUUGUUGUUGUUUAAACGAGAUUUUAGUCCCGGUUCGUCCCCAGAGCGGCUGCAGGAGUAGUGCCCAGGACUAUUGUGACCUGCUGUGCCGUAGCUCAGACUUCA